Molecule: ribosomal RNA, 343 nt
Filed under: Nematoda environmental sample
Lineage: Eukaryota; Metazoa; Nematoda
Description: SSU rRNA
Rfam family: Eukaryotic small subunit ribosomal RNA
Source: RNAcentral
CGCGAAUGGCUCAUUACAACAGCCGUUGUUUCUUGGAUCUUACUUUACUUGGAUAACUGUGGUAAUUCUAGAGCUAAUACAUGCAACCAAGCUCCAACCGUAAGGAAGGAGCGCAUUUAUUAGACCAAAACCAAUCAGCCUCGGCUGAAUUUUGGUGACUCUGAAUAACUUUGCUGAUCACACAGUCCUAGCACUGGUGACAUAUCUUUCAAGUGUCUGCCCUAUCAACUUUCGAUGGUAGUUUAUGUGACUACCAUGGUUGUAACGGGUAACGGAGAAUAAGGGUUCGACUCCGGAGAGGGAGCCUGAGAAAUGGCUACCACAUCCAAGGAAGGCAGCAGGC